UUAAUGUCCAGGAGAGUGGCCCUCCGCAUGGAGGGUUGACUAGAGAUUUAUCGGUAUGGGAUGAGCUUGCGUCCGAUUAGCUAGUUGGCGGGGCAACGGCCCACCAAGGCGACGACCGGUAGCCGGCCUGAGAGGGUGAUCAGCCACAUUGGGACUGAGAUACGGCCCAGACUCCUACGGGAGGCAGCAGUAGGGAAUAUUGCACAAUGGGGGAAACCCUGAUGCAGCAACGCCACGUGUGGGAAGAAGCAUUUCGGUGUGUAAACCACUGUCAUGAGGGAAUAAGGCCCGCCUCCGGGCGGGAUUGAAUGUACCUUGAGAGGAAGCACCGGCAAACUUCGUGCCAGCAGCCGCGGUAAUACGAGGGGUGCAAGCGUUGUUCGGAAUUACUGGGCGUAAAGGGAGCGUAGGCGGAGAUUCAAGCGGAUUGUACAAUCCCGGGGCCCAACCCCGGCUCGGCAGUCCGAACUGGAUCUCUUGGAUAGUUCAGGGGCAGGCGGAAUUCCUGGUGUAGCGGUGGAAUGCGCAGAGAUCAGGAAGAACACCGAUGGCGAAGGCAGCCUGCUGGGGACUUAUCGACGCUGAGGCUCGGAAGUGCGGGUAGCAAACAGGAUUAGACACCCUGGUAGUCCGCACCGUAGACAAUGCAUACUGGGUGUCCGGGGGUUCCCCCGGGUACCGUAGCCAACGCGUUAAGUAUGCCGCCUGGGGAGUACGUACGCAAGUAUGAAACUCAAAGGAAUUGACGGGGGCCCGCACAAGCGGUGGAGCAUGUGGUUUAAUUCGAAGCAACGCGCAGAACCUUACCAGGGUUUGACAUGGAAACGCCGCGGCGAGAGAUAAUCACUA
This 849-nucleotide ribosomal RNA is filed under the name uncultured Fibrobacter sp. RNAcentral describes it as "bacterial SSU rRNA". It matches the Rfam family "Bacterial small subunit ribosomal RNA", at positions 163 to 1015 of the family's 1533-position model. The record is from RNAcentral. Lineage: Bacteria; Pseudomonadati; Fibrobacterota; Fibrobacteria; Fibrobacterales; Fibrobacteraceae.